UCAACUUCAGGUUUUGCCCUUCCGGAGGCCUCCGGUGAGCGGCAGAUCUGCUGGUUGGGGUUCCUUUGCGCGGAAGAUCCGGUUGUUUCUUGCCUUCCAGAUGUUCCAUAGGAUGAGACUAAUGAGUUCACGAUCGGGUUUUCCUUCGUUGGGAGGGCAUUUUGGCAUAGACUCCAGAUGAAGAAGCGAACCUUUGGAGGCACAUCAAGACUCCAAAUUUGUGUCCACAAGUCAAUUUGAUUUCAGCCAAACUUGGUGAAUCGAUGUCAAUGUUGCUCGCCAUGACAUUGACUUGAAUGACGUCGACUCGACUAUCAGUCAAACGCUUCCCCCAUUGUCGACCUAAUUCUAUUUGCUUCUUACAGUCAACAUCAGUGUUUGACUGUUCAUUUCAUACAUGGUCUAUAUCACGUCACUUGUAUUGGUCAAUAUAUUGUUUAUCCCUUCUUUAUUGAUACCCAUCAUGUUG
Long non-coding RNA from Eucalyptus grandis, 469 nucleotides. RefSeq lists it as uncharacterized. The transcript is spliced from 4 exons. Lineage: Eukaryota; Viridiplantae; Streptophyta; Magnoliopsida; Myrtales; Myrtaceae. The record is from RefSeq and is a predicted model, not a curated record.